RNAcentral lists this ribosomal RNA (828 nucleotides) under Triticum aestivum (bread wheat). RNAcentral's name for it is "partial small subunit ribosomal RNA". The record is from RNAcentral. Lineage: Eukaryota; Viridiplantae; Streptophyta; Magnoliopsida; Poales; Poaceae.
AUGUUCAGCUGGAACGUUCUGAGGACCGUUGGUGCUACCUCAUUCACAGUGAGCGCAGAUGGAGCCGUCACCGCCAUGAUUGGGCUCUUUAAAUUGGGACGGGUAGCGUGUUCCACCACCAUGGACCAGCAAUGGCGGCUCUCGACAUGGCGCAUAUCAAAUGGUUGGAGGCCACUGUCAUUCCAAGGCAAGAUGUACACCUUGCACACUCCCACAAAUGGCAGCGAGCUUCAGAUUUUCCAGAUUGACUUGCCGGGGCACGGGGAGAAGGAGGACUUUGAUAGAAUUUUGUGUUAUCUACCGGCACCUAAGUUGAUUGCCACAUGUCUGGCAGGCAAACCUCAGAAGCCUUAUUACUACCUCGCAGAAUGUGAUUCGGAGAUCCUGGUGAUCGGCCGUUACCUUUCUGGUUCACUCGACGUUGAGGUUUACAGACUAUCUGACAUUAUCCUAGACAGGAUUGCCCCAGUAACGAGCAUCGGAGGAAAUGCUCUCUUUGUUGAAGAAAGGGUCUUGAGUGUCAGCAGUAGAGUGCACCCCACCAUUGUGGGCGACUCUGUUGUACAUCUCCAUAACAAGGAAAUUUAUCUUGGGCAUUACCACCUUGCCACUGGGACAUGGUUGCCAACAGCGGAUGGGUGUGUCAUACGUGGUGUACCGAGUCCUUGUAGCCUCAUCUACCAUAUCUUCACCUGUUGCUAUCGUCCCACUUGGAACAAAGGGGGGCUUCUUUAUCAGGGUAAUGUGCAACCUAGUUGGAAAGUGAAGAGAAAAUGGCGUGAGGGGGUGAGUAUGAUCUGGAAUACCUCAAUGGUCGCAAACUUAUAA